AGUGGUGAAAUAUUCGGGCUCAACCNGGGAUACUGCCAUUGAUACUGUAUAGCUGGAAUAUGGUUGCUGUGGGUGGAAUGUGUGGUGUAGCGGUGAAAUGCAUAGAUAUCACACAGAAUAUCGAUUGCGAAGGCAACUCACAAAGCCAUUAUUGACGCUGAUGCACGAAAGUGUGGGGAUCAAACAGGAUUAGAUACCCUGGUAGUCCACACUGUAAACGAUGAUAACUAGCUGUCGGCGAUAGAUAGUCGGUGGCUAAGCGAAAGCGAUAAGUUAUCCACCUGGGGAGUACGACCGCAAGGUUGAAACUCAAAGGAAUUGACGGGGGCCCGCACAAGCGGAGGAACAUGUGGUUUAAUUCGAUGAUACGCGAGGAACCUUACCCGGGCUCGAACGGUGCAGGAAUAUGGUAGAGAUAUCAUAGCUAGCAAUAGUCUGUAUCGAGGUGCUGCAUGGUUGUCGUCAGCUCGUGCCGUGAGGUGUCGGCUUAAGUGCCAUAACGAGCGCAACCCUUGUCGUUAGUUACCAUCAAGUAAAGUUGGGGACUCUAGCGAGACUGCCACCGUAAGGUGUGAGGAAGGGGGGGAUGACGUCAAAUCAGCACGGCCCUUACGUCCGGGGCGACACACGUGUUACAAUGGUAGGUACAGAGGGGCGCUAUCCAGUGAUGGAGUGCGAAUCUCAAAAACCUAUCUCAGUUCGGAUUGGAGUCUGCAACUCGACUCCAUGAAGUUGGAUUCGCUAGUAAUCGCGCAUCAGCCAUGGCGCGGUGAAUACGUUCCCGGGCCUUGUACACACCGCCCGUCAAGCCAUGGAAGCCGGGGGUGCCUGAAGUUCGUGACCGCAAGGAGCGACCUAGGGCAAAACUAGUAACUGGGGCUAAGUCGUAACAAGGUAACC
RNAcentral lists this ribosomal RNA (900 nucleotides) under uncultured Bacteroides sp. RNAcentral describes it as "bacterial SSU rRNA". It matches the Rfam family "Bacterial small subunit ribosomal RNA", at positions 590 to 1501 of the family's 1533-position model. The record is from RNAcentral. Lineage: Bacteria; Pseudomonadati; Bacteroidota; Bacteroidia; Bacteroidales; Bacteroidaceae.